Echinops telfairi (small Madagascar hedgehog) is the source of this 2943-nucleotide long non-coding RNA. RefSeq lists it as uncharacterized. The record is from RefSeq and is a predicted model, not a curated record. The transcript has 2 exons. NCBI's taxonomy places the organism in Eukaryota, Metazoa, Chordata, Mammalia, Afrosoricida, Tenrecidae.
UGGGUUCAUACCAGGGAAGAAACCCGUGUGGUUCAGCAGUGGUUGCCUUCGCACGCAGCCCUCAGAUGGAUGGAUCCCUGUUACUAUGGGGGGCUGGAAGGAACACGGAUUAUUAAAACCCCAAACAAAGACUCCCCCAUACCAGACCUCUCCCCUCGCCCCCCAGCCCAACUGGACAAGCAAGGCCUGUUUCUUUGGGCCUGAGGUUGUGCCAUAUAAAGUCUCAUUUUGAGACUCUACAGACUUCGUUUAACUACCUUAUGGAUAGUGGGCUGUGACAGUCUUGAACAGGGAACUUUUACAUAUCUCCCCAUUGAAGGAGCAACCCUGAGUCAAAAAGGGAAUAGAUUCUGCAACCUUGCCCUCAACCUCUUCCUGUUGACGACAAAGCCCAUGGAAUCACAAAAGGAGACACCUUCCCAAGGUUCCGUGUAAAUGCGUUUCUUCUGCUGCUUCUCUUCCGCCUGUUCCGGGGCAAAGACAAUGAUGAGAGAGCUCCCACCUCUGGAAAGAACACAUGAAUGGCGUUCAGACUCAUCCCCAGUGAGAGACACACACACGGCAAGCGUUCAAGGCUCAGCAUCUGUUCUCCAGUGGCCCUGCAGGAAUGCGCUGUCUCACAGCACCAGUUCUGCAGAGCCCCACUCCCGGACUCCUUGUGGUUUUAUUUAUAUGGACUUCCACGAUUGCAUUCCUAUAUGGCCCUGCUGCCCUUGAGGUGGCAGCAAGUGACCAGAGGCUACAGGUUUGACAAUGGACACCAGGUCAGGUGCCACCACACAAAACAAAGCCAGUUCCCAUGAGCUGCCUAUGAUAUGCAUUGCUGAAGUAACAUUUUACCCAGGGUGCGCCAUUGCAGUGAUAUAAAUAUAUUUUUUUCCUAGACUAAUUAUGAGCUGACUAUCUCUUUUGAUGUGUGUACAUAGGUGUGAGUAUGUGUGUGGGUGUGUGGGUGAGCGGGUGAGUACGUUUGCAUACGUGUGUGUGCGCACAUGCGCGCGUGCGCGUCUAACCUCAUGCUUAGAACUGCCUGUGAAUGUUGUGGAAUGCUACACCUGGAAGGGUCUGGUUUUGCCAGUCCCAUGAUGAGAAGUCAUGGGAGAAAGUGGGCCUAGAGAUCGCACCCGUCUCCUUCGAGAGACAGCCCAGAAAUGUUCGAUGUCCUGUAUCUAUCAGUGUAUUUUGUAGCCGCCACGCUAACCUUAAUGAGUCAUUUUUACAGCCUUGGGUAGAGGCACUUUCACCUCAGCAGCGGAGUAAUUUUAGAAUAUAAAUCCAUUCAGGUGAUGCCCCAUCAUCAAAAUCACAAAUUCUGAUUCCACUCCUCAUGCAAAUCAACUGUUUCUUGAUGGAGAGAGAGAGCGCGAGAAAGAAGGGGAUGGAAUUGUCUGGUAACCCCAACGGGAAUACAAGUCGCCUUUGUUUUCCUGCAUCAACGGACUGCUGCGUGCGAGCAAAUAUAUGCAAUUCACUUACUCUUGGCGAUGAACGUUGAUGUGUGUGUCAGCUUUGAGAUGAUGUGUCUUGGAUUAAUACUUUGUCUCCCAGUAUCACAGAAAAUACAGACCAGGGACUCUUGAGGUUGACGUCGUUAGGCUUAAAUGGCCUCCUGCAAUCCCAGGACUCCAGUGUACCCAGAAACUUGUAGAGUCAAUGAUAUGCAGCUAACUCCCAAUGGCCCUCAAGGACGCUUCAUCUUUCUCGAUCUGGAGGUCAGUGUGUGAAGAUACAGUAUUGCUCAGAUAGAGAUACCAAACCCAGCCAACAUACUGCCAUUUUGCAUUAUAAUCUCUGAGUGUUUGCCUUGCUUAUUCUGAACGAUGGUUGCAGAAGCUGCAGCCAUUCCUAUAAGCUAUAGCAUCAAAUCAGGGAAAAAGAAGGAAAGGGAAAAAAACAAAAACAGAGAACCUGAACCGUAUGGUGUUGACUAAGUAGAGAAAAUCACCGAUAAAUAUUUAUUCUAUUCUGACAGGGUGUGUGGCAUUGUAUUCUCGUAACUAUGCCAGAGUGACCAAGUUAAUUCACCCCUUUUGGGGAACCUUAAUAUAUUUUUUAAGGGAUGUGCCUAUGCAUUGAUGCCUGAAAAAUAUGUAUAAAGAAAUGCGGUUGAAUCCCUGAGCAGGUCAUCUUUCCCAGAAGAGUAAGAGGAGGAAGCUAAAUUCAGGGACAAUGUCAAGGCCAGGAGCGAAUGCUGGCCCUGUGAGCUCAGAUGCUAAAUCAUGCCCAAAACUUCUAUCAGACAGCAGGAAGCUGUUCCCCUGCACCAAAUUAAGUACUUUCACCAUUGUCCGCUGGCCCCAAAUUGUUUUUUUAACAAUCUUCUAGAUGAAAUGUUCUGGUGUGUUUUAAGAAAAAGUUAUUAUUAAAAAAAAAAAAAGGCUGUGCUUGCUGCACAGCUGGUGUGUGUGUGUGUGUUGAGACCUCUUGUAUGCAAUCUGUGAAGGAUAUGUGUAUUAAUCCAUACACGUGUAUAGCCUCCAUAUUUGUCUAAAGACACUUAAAAUUGUGACCAGUAAAGGAAAGUUCUAGAAGCAAUAUUUUCACUUAUGUAACAUUCUCCAAACAAUAGCAAGUGUUGAUACACACUGAAGAGUGCAUUUAUUUUUUUGUAUCACACCACAUAUGUUGGAAUAUGCAAGGACUGUGGUUAAAAUGAGAAUGUAUAAGGCAUAUUAUAAUUUUGUGCAUACUGAAACAGAAGUCAACAGAACAUUUGAUUGGGUUCAUCAGUGUUCCAAAAUUUGAGCGAUCUUGAGUUAGCCCUAGAAAUUUUCUAUUUUAAUUUGACAAAGUAUUUGCCCUUCCCUUCAUGAACUUUUAGGUACACGUAACUUAUGUCAUUUAUUUAUGGUCUUUUAUACCUAGUUUGUAAAAUUGUAAAAUAGCAAACUAAAUGCAAAGAGUUUGCAUUUGAAAAUAAUAAAGUAGUUGCCGUAUACAAAC